This 253-nucleotide ribosomal RNA is filed under the name uncultured bacterium. Its description in RNAcentral is "partial 16S ribosomal RNA". It matches the Rfam family "Bacterial small subunit ribosomal RNA", at positions 524 to 776 of the family's 1533-position model. The record is from RNAcentral.
UACGUAGGUGGCAAGCGUUGUCCGGAAUUAUUGGGCGUAAAGGGCGCGUAGGCGGCUCGACAAGUCCCGCGUGAAAGCCCCCGGCUCAACUGGGGAACUGCGCGGGAAACUGUCGGACUUGAGUUCGGGAGAGGGAAGCGGAAUUCCGGGUGUAGCGGUGAAAUGCGUAGAUAUCCGGAGGAACACCGGUGGCGAAGGCGGCUUCCUGGACCGACACUGACGCUGAGGCGCGAAAGCUAGGGGAGCAAACGGG